CCUACGGGAGGCAGCAGUGAGGAAUAUUGGUCAAUGGCCGUAAGGCUGAACCAGCCAAGUAGCGUGAGGGAAGACUGCCCUAUGGGUUGUAAACCUCUUUUAUGCGGGGAUAAAGGUGUCCACGCGUGGAUGUUUGCAGGUACCGCAUGAAUAAGGACCGGCUAAUUCCGUGCCAGCAGCCGCGGUAAUACGGAAGGUCCGGGCGUUAUCCGGAUUUAUUGGGUUUAAAGGGAGCGUAGGCCGGUCUUUAAGCGUGCCGGGAAAUUUUGUGGCUCAACCAUGGGAGUGCGGCGCAAACUGGAGACCUUGAGUGCGCGGAAGGCAGGCGGAAUUCGUGGUGUAGCGGUGAAAUGCUUAGAUAUCACGAAGAACCCCGAUUGCGAAGGCAGCCUGCCGCAGCGUUACUGACGCUGAAGCGCGAAAGCGCGGGUAUCGAACAGGAUUAGAUACCCUUGUAGUC
Molecule: ribosomal RNA, 460 nt
Filed under: uncultured bacterium
Lineage: Bacteria
Description: partial 16S ribosomal RNA
Rfam family: Bacterial small subunit ribosomal RNA
Source: RNAcentral